CGCAAAGGUAGCAUAAUCAAUAGUCUUUUAAUUGGGGGCUUGAAUGAAAGGUUUGACGGGGGGAAGACUGUCUUUUUAGUUUAAAUUGAAGUUAACAUUUGUGUGAAAAGGCAUCAAUAAUUCAAGGGGACGAUAAGACCCUAUAAAAUUUAACAUAUAAAAUCAUUUAUCAGAAUUGGUAGAUAAUGGUUAGAUGAUUAACUAUGUUUUGCUGGGGCGGCAUGAAUAUAAAUUUAACUGUUUAAGAAAUGUAAUAUUUAUUAAUAGAUUAUGGUCCUUUAUUAGAGAGUUAAGAUUAAGUUACUUUAGGGAUAA
RNAcentral lists this ribosomal RNA (315 nucleotides) under Synalpheus dominicensis. Its description in RNAcentral is "partial 16S ribosomal RNA". Lineage: Eukaryota; Metazoa; Arthropoda; Malacostraca; Decapoda; Alpheidae. The record is from RNAcentral.